AGCCAUGCAUGUGUCAGUAUAAGUAUUAUAUAGCGAAACUGCGAAUGGCUCAUUACAUCAGUCAUAACUUAUUUGAUAUUUGAAAGUUACAUGGAUAACCGUGGCAAUUCUACAGCUAAUACAUGCGUUCAUACCCAACUUUACGGAAGGGUAGUAUUUAUUAGAUAUUAAACCAAUCCUUCGGGUUGUGAUGAUUCAUAAUAACUGAUCGAAGCGAGGAUUUCCUUGCUAAAUCAUUCAGGUCUCUGCCCUAUCAGCUUUAGAUGGUAGUGUAUUGGACUACCAUGGCUAUAACGGGUAACGUAGGAUAAGGGUUCGAUUACGGAGAUGAAGCCUGAGAAAUGGCUUCAACAUCUAAGGAUGGCAGCAGGCGCGAAAAUUGCCCAAUCCCGAUUCGGGGAGGCAGUGACAAGAAAUAACAACUUUGGGCUUUGUCCCAGGGAUUGUAAUGAGAAAAAUCUAAAAAACUUAUCGAGUAUCAACUGGAGGGCAAGCUAUGGUGCCAGCAGCCGCGGUAAUUCCAUCUCCAGUAGCGUAUAUUAAAGUUGCUGCAGUUAAAAAGCUCGUAGUUGAAAUUCUGUUCGGUUGAGCGAUUUCCACAAGGUUAUCGCCUCACCGGGCAUCUGUCUGCAAUCAUUUUCACGGCAUUCACUUGUCGGGAUUGGGAGCAGGCGUUCUACCGUGAGA
This 687-nucleotide ribosomal RNA is filed under the name uncultured eukaryote. RNAcentral describes it as "bacterial SSU rRNA". It matches the Rfam family "Eukaryotic small subunit ribosomal RNA", at positions 47 to 762 of the family's 1831-position model. The record is from RNAcentral.